UUAGACUCUUGCCAGAUACAAUUGCUCUUCGAUGCUAGACAACAUAUGCUGGGUUGAAGAUGAGGAUGGCGAUGUAAUAAUUUCACCUGUUCUUUUCCAUUUUGAAUGGCAGAUGUGUCUUCUACAGAUCCCACAUGCUCCUUUGCCAUGGCAGCUGAUGUCACCUGUCAUGUAUCCGAAGUGCCGCGUGGAGGAAAGGACAAGAAAACCACCAGCCCUAUUAAAUGCUGCUUGGUUUAUCCCAGCACAAGCCAGAGCAGGAGGAACACACUGGCUUCCAGUAAACUGCAACAAAGUUCUGCUAAGUCAUGCCUCUCCCCUCCUACAGCAAGCCCAGUAGAGUGUGAGAGCAUUUCCCCGGCAGAAGCCUGGCCCCUGCCUCCCCUGCUGCAGUAACUUAGAACGCCUAGGUAAGUUUCAAAAUCAAGAAGACGCAGCUGUGUUUCAGAGACUCAGGCUCUCCCAGUCCCCUUGAACUCAUCCAGUUGUUAUGGAGAGAUUCUUACAAAAGUCACUGCAAUCCUCUUUCAAAGGAUAAAAGGAUCACAUCUCAGACAGGCCUUCCUCUGUGAAUUCAUGUGG
Molecule: long non-coding RNA, 582 nt
Filed under: Mustela putorius furo (domestic ferret)
Lineage: Eukaryota; Metazoa; Chordata; Mammalia; Carnivora; Mustelidae
Description: lncRNA (ENSMPUG00000027711.1)
Source: RNAcentral